Molecule: unclassified non-coding RNA, 200 nt
Filed under: soil metagenome
Description: partial contains internal transcribed spacer 2 and large subunit ribosomal RNA
Source: RNAcentral
AUGAAAACAUCAUCCCAUCGGUUUCCGAUGACGAUGGAUUUGGGUGUUGCCGUCUGGCUCGCCUUAAAAGCCUUAGUGAUUCCGAGGUCGAAUCUGGCGUAAUAAGUUUCGCUGGCCAAGACCGAGAGGAUCGCUCACAACCCGUCUUCUGACAUUUUUGCUCUGACCUCAAAUCAGGUAGGACUACCCGCUGAACUUAA